UCAGGUUUGAAUAAUUCCUCUCUAACUUGACAAGUUAAAAUUUUAUAUAUAAACUAAAACCUG
This 63-nucleotide transfer RNA is filed under the name Osborniella crotophagae. RNAcentral's name for it is "tRNA-Asp". Lineage: Eukaryota; Metazoa; Arthropoda; Insecta; Psocodea; Menoponidae. The record is from RNAcentral.